ACCUGCGAUGCAUUAGCUAGUUGGUAAGGUAACGGGCUUACCAAGGCGAUGAUGCAUAGCCCGAGUUGAGAGACUGAUCGGCCACAUUGGGGACUGAGACACGGGCCCAAACUCCUACGGGAGGCAGCAGUAGGGAAUCUUCCACAAUGGACGAAAGUCUGAUGGAGCAAACGCCGCGUGAGUGAAGAAGGUUUUCGGAUCGUAAAGCUCUGUUGUUGGUGAAGAAGGAAUAGAGGUAGUAACUGGCCCUUUAUUUGACGGUAAUCAACCAGAAAGUCACGGGCUAACUACGUGCCAGCAGCCGCGGUAAAAU
Molecule: ribosomal RNA, 313 nt
Filed under: uncultured Lactobacillus sp.
Lineage: Bacteria; Bacillati; Bacillota; Bacilli; Lactobacillales; Lactobacillaceae
Description: bacterial SSU rRNA
Rfam family: Bacterial small subunit ribosomal RNA
Source: RNAcentral